CGGGAGUAAUGUCUGGGAAACUGCCUGAUGGAGGGGGAUAACUACUGGAAACGGUAGCUAAUACCGCAUAAUGUCGCAAGACCAAAGUGGGGGACCUUCGGGCCUCAUGCCAUAAGAUGUGCCCAGAUGGGAUUAGCUAGUAGGUGGGGUAACGGCUCACCUAGGCGACGAUCCCUAGCUGGUCUGAGAGGAUGACCAGCCACACUGGAACUGAGACACGGUCCAG
This 226-nucleotide ribosomal RNA is filed under the name uncultured bacterium. Its description in RNAcentral is "partial 16S ribosomal RNA". It matches the Rfam family "Bacterial small subunit ribosomal RNA", at positions 106 to 334 of the family's 1533-position model. The record is from RNAcentral.